GCCUAGAAAUGGGGGACCGUGGGUUCAAAUCUAGCCUCAGACACCUCCUAACUGCAAGACCCUGACCAAGUCACGUGAUUCCAAUGGCAUUAGUCCUCACCACUCUUCUUCCUUGGAAUGAAUACUUAGUAUUGCUUCCAAGAUGGAAGAUCAUUCUUAAAGGAAGGCUUGAUGAUCAAAACAUAGUCAGUAAUCCCAAAAUUCUUCUGUCUUCAGCAACUCUCACUGCCUUUCAGAGAAGCUGCACAAACAGAAUGAUUCCAGGAAGAAUGCUGAGCAAGGAAAUGGCAAACCACUGUAAUAGAGGAACUUAAGCUUAAUCUGGCAGAGAAAGAAGACAAGCAGAUUUAUCAGGCUCAAGGACCAACAGGAGUUGGCAAAGGAUAGGAAGGAGAGAGAGUUCUGAAGAAAGGACAGAGGAAGUGAGAGGAUCUGGACAGUGGAAGAAAACUUCUCUGUGGGAAGCUCACCAGAAAGGCAGACCUGAGCAAAUCUCUGAGCCAGCACCAUCCUCCUGUGACUUCUGACCCAGUAUCCAGUGAAGACAAGCAGAGUGAAUAGGACUUUGCUAAAAGCAUUCGUCAUAAGAAGAUUUUCUCUGAAUCCCCUGGAAGUCCUUGAACUUGUUACAACAGCUUGAGCAGCUGGAAAGUCAGGACAUCUUCACAACUGACCCCAGAGGGUCAGGCAGGCAAGGCCUAACCCUGCCAGACUUAGAGAAGGGGUUCAGUUACUUCUAGGGACCUCAGACUCCCUCUUUCCCAAUACCUCAUUCCUCAAUUCAAUUGCCCUACCCUUCAUUUGUUCCCUUAGAAUAAACAGCUUUUCAUAAGAU
RNAcentral lists this long non-coding RNA (835 nucleotides) under Monodelphis domestica (gray short-tailed opossum). Its description in RNAcentral is "lncRNA (ENSMODG00000044084.1)". The record is from RNAcentral. Lineage: Eukaryota; Metazoa; Chordata; Mammalia; Didelphimorphia; Didelphidae.